Molecule: ribosomal RNA, 274 nt
Filed under: uncultured bacterium
Lineage: Bacteria
Description: partial 16S ribosomal RNA
Rfam family: Bacterial small subunit ribosomal RNA
Source: RNAcentral
AUACGGAGGGUGCGAGCGUUAAUCGGAAUUACUGGGCGUAAAGCGUACGUAGGCGGUUGGUUAAGUUAGAUGUGAAAGCCCCGGGCUUAAUCUGGGAACUGCAUUUAAAACUGGCGAACUAGAGUUGAGUAGAGGGGAGUGGAAUUUCAGGUGUAGCGGUGAAAUGCGUAGAGAUCUGAAGGAACACCAGUGGCGAAGGCGACUCCCUGGACUCGAACUGACGCUGAGGUACGAAAGCGUGGGUAGCAAACGGGAUUAGAUACCCUAGUAGUCC